RNAcentral lists this ribosomal RNA (460 nucleotides) under uncultured bacterium. Its description in RNAcentral is "partial 16S ribosomal RNA". It matches the Rfam family "Bacterial small subunit ribosomal RNA", at positions 338 to 795 of the family's 1533-position model. The record is from RNAcentral.
CCUACGGGAGGCUGCAGUGAGGAAUAUUGGUCAAUGGGCGUAAGCCUGAACCAGCCAAGUCGCGUGAGGGAUGAAGGUUCUAUGGAUCGUAAACCUCUUUUAUAAGGGAAUAAAGUGUGGGACGUGUCCUAUUUUGUAUGUACCUUAUGAAUAAGGAUCGGCUAACUCCGGGCAAGCAGCCGCGGUAAUACGGAGAAUCCGAGCGUUACCCGGGUUUUUUGGGUUUAAAGGGUGCGUAGGCGGCCUUGUAAGUUAUCGGUGAAAGUCUGUGGCUAAAACAUAGAAUGGCCGUUGAAACUAGGGGACUUGAGUAUGUUUGAGGCAGGCGGAAUGCGAGGUGAAGCGGUGAAAUGCUUAGAUAUAACGCAGAACCCCGAUUGCGAAGGCAGCCUGCCAAGCCAUUACUGACGCUGAUGCACGAAAGCGUGGGGAUCAAACAGGAUUAGAUACCCUUGUAGUC